Crepidotus variabilis is the source of this 98-nucleotide non-coding RNA. NCBI's taxonomy places the organism in Eukaryota, Fungi, Basidiomycota, Agaricomycetes, Agaricales, Crepidotaceae. The record is from the annotation of a GenBank genome assembly.
GGGCGCUUAGCGCAGGGGUAGCGCGUCUGCUUUGCAUUUGUUCACGCAUGUUUGUAUUUGUUUGCAGAAGGUCAAGGGUUCAAUUCCCUUAGUGUCCA